RNAcentral lists this small nuclear RNA (180 nucleotides) under Prolemur simus (greater bamboo lemur). RNAcentral describes it as "U2 spliceosomal RNA (ENSPSMG00000021474.1)". The stretch from base 1 to 105 matches the Rfam family "U2 spliceosomal RNA". Rfam says of the family: U2 is a small nuclear RNA (snRNA) component of the spliceosome (involved in pre-mRNA splicing). Complementary binding between U2 snRNA (in an area lying towards the 5' end but 3' to hairpin I) and the branchpoint sequence (BPS) of the intron results the bulging out of an unpaired adenosine, on the BPS, which initiates a nucleophilic attack at the intronic 5' splice site, thus starting the first of two transesterification reactions that mediate splicing. The record is from RNAcentral. Lineage: Eukaryota; Metazoa; Chordata; Mammalia; Primates; Lemuridae.
AUUACUUCUCAGCCUUUAGGCUAAGAUCAAGUGUAGUAUCUGUUCUUACCAAUUUAAUAAUAAUGUAUCAGUAUUGGCUCAUUAUUUUUAACAAAUUUACCUCACUAAUUCAAGAUGUUAACGAUCAGGGAAACUGUGUGGGGAGGAGGUGUAUAGAGAACUCUCAGUCAUAUAUGCUCA